Cyprinus carpio (common carp) is the source of this 740-nucleotide long non-coding RNA. RefSeq lists it as uncharacterized. The transcript has 3 exons. The record is from RefSeq and is a predicted model, not a curated record. NCBI's taxonomy places the organism in Eukaryota, Metazoa, Chordata, Actinopteri, Cypriniformes, Cyprinidae.
UAAAAACUCCUGGCUCACAGUAUUGUACUUCUGUGAAGGUCAGUCUUAAAAGUGCUGUUUCGUAACUGUUCCUAAAACCAUGUAAAUUCUUAAGGCUGAAGAUUACGUCAUGUUAAGCGGUUAUUCGGUUUGAUUACCAGUGUGGUUGACUGUAUUCGCAAAAACAAGUGGUGGAAACCAGAAGCUCGGCUUUCACAAGAGGCCCACCGCCAUCACCUUGUGCUAAAAUGCGCUGAGAUGGAGCAGGUGUCACAGCAACCACGGACUCAGCCAAAGAGGAGAGCCGGAGAGUAUAGGGGAUCCCACUAUAGGCAUUUACAGUAGGUCCAGCCUUUGAUGGGACUCAGGACAGAAUCAGAGAGAAACACACGCAGUGGAACUACAGGAGCCCACACAGCCAAGCACAAAGAGCCACUGUGCAUUCCCAAAGAAAACUCCAGCUCCACACAGAUGCUGCCCCUGCCUGAUUCACUCCCAUCCACAAAAAGCACAGAGCAAUCAUGAGACACCUGCCAGACAAGAAGAGAACUGUCAGAUGAGUUGAUAUAUUUCAUGCAUUAGAGCAGACCUCCUCUGAAAUUUUUAUACCUUGACGAUUUCUUCAUUGGCUGAAUGACACUUCACCGCUGUGGUCACAUCUGAUACUUUACCAUCAAGGCCCACUGCUAGGACAAUGACAGGAAGUGACACAGGCUGGCUCGUCAAGAUAGCUGUGUUGAUAAUUGUGUUGCUCUGCCAAU